This 201-nucleotide unclassified non-coding RNA is filed under the name uncultured fungus. Its description in RNAcentral is "sequence contains ITS1". Lineage: Eukaryota; Fungi. The record is from RNAcentral.
UUGAAUUAAUUUAGAGUGGGUUGUUGCUGGCUUAAAUAAACUUUAGGCAUGUGCACACCUUCUCUUAAAUCCAUAUACACCUGUGAACUUGUGAGGCAGGGAGGGAGAGAGGCCUUGAUUGGCCUGAUUCUUUCCUGCCUAUUUUACACAAACUCAUUUAAUUUAAACUGAAUGUAAUUGAUGUAACGCAUCAUUUAAUAC